UGGCCGUAUACGUUAACCGGGAUAUUUUUUACCCCAAGAUGGUACUCUGAAUAAAAUCUUCUGCGGCUCCUGAUUGGAUGAUACAAAGUUGGAAUUGCUCCAAUAAAAUUUAAGCAGCGAUCGAUCAUCCAUGUAAUACACAAUCUUGAACAGGUGAGUCCGGACUGUGACCUGACAUGACCCCGGACUAGCCUGAAGUUUACUAUACCUGCGUGUAUUGCAUUACGACGACUAACUGUAUGUAAACUGUUUAUUGUCGUAAAGUAUAUUGACGGGACAUUUGAUCAAGCAUGUAAUACAUAAGAAAUUUAUAAGAUAUUUAUCCGACAUUUAACGAAAAAUAUAAUUGUAAUAGGCGAGUCCGGAUGGUGACCUGAAGUAACCCCGGACUAGGUGUAUUCGCAAACUAAAGACAUCGAUAGAGAUAUAAAACUUCACACAUUAUUUGACGAGACGAACUUAUUCAUUUUUAUUCAUUCAACUUUUUCCUUAUUGUAUUGUCGUCGGAAACAUUAAUAAAAGACGUUCACCGAGAAUCAACAAAUUAAUAUUAGGCGAGUCCGGACUGUGACCUGAUAUAACCCCGGACCAGGAGUAUACGGAUUGUAUAUAAAUAAACUAAAUUAUUUGUUUAAUUGAAAGAUUUUUUUCCCCUUUUUGCUUUUUACUUUUCCUUUAUUUAUUUCUCUAUUUCGUAAGUUAUUCGAAUGUCAUCGGAAAAUUCAAUAAACGAAACUUAAGCGGCGUUCAACAAUGUAAUACACUAUCUUGAACAGGUGAGUCCGGACUGUGACCUGACAUGACCCCGGACUAGCUUGAAGUUUACUAUACCUGCGUGUAUUGCAUUACGACGACUAACUGUAUGUAAACUGUUUAUUGUCGUAAAGUAUAUUGACGGGACAUUUGAUCAAGCAUGUAAUACAUAAGAAAUUUAUAAGAUAUUUAUCCGACA
This 952-nucleotide long non-coding RNA is filed under the name Mytilus galloprovincialis (Mediterranean mussel). The record is from RNAcentral. Lineage: Eukaryota; Metazoa; Mollusca; Bivalvia; Mytilida; Mytilidae.